UACGUGGGCCAGUUAUGUAUUUAGCCAAUAGAAAACUAAACUUGUAGCCUUCGUUUGUAUUUCCUUAUAUACUGACAUUGACAGUGGCCGUUACCAGCAUUUGACGGUCGCCAGCCGGCUAAUUGAAGUGCCGCUUACGGUGGUGAAGUUAAGAUGAGGAGUUUGGUUGGAGUUAUUGGAAGGUCCUUCUUUUUGUCAAGGUUUCUUCUUUUUCUUCCUCAAAGAAUUAGGGUUUCUCCCAUUAAGAGUUGUAUGAUAUCCAUCCCAGUUGGUUCCCCCUGGAUGUCUUCACUUGUUGAGGGUGUAACUGAAGUUAUUGUCAAUUAUAAGUUAAUUGCAACCCAGGCAUCUCUAAAUGAGGAUGAAGUUGCAGAGGCUUACUUGAACAUAAUUCUUGCUGCCAUUCAAAACGCUCCAAGCUCCAUUGAAGAAAUUUGCACUGGUUAUCUUCAUAAGCUAUGCAAUUCCGGAAGUCUUUUUGUUGCUGUUAGAUUGCUGCAAUCUUUACAGAAUAGAAAUAUCACCCUUGGUCCUAAUGCUUAUAAUCUUGUUAUGGAAGCAGCAGGUGAAGCAAAUAAAGCUGACAUUGUAUCUCGGGUUUUCAAGGAUUUAAUGAUGUCUUGUAAAUCUUUGCCUUCAAGUUCUUUUAUUAAUCUUGCAAGGGGUUUCAUAAACACAAAUGAUCAUGUUCUGUUAAUGAAAUUUGUUAAAGAAGUAUUGGAGCUGGCUUUUCCAAGAAGUAUGGUGGUCAUAAAUAGAAUUAUAUUUGCCUUUGCUGAAUGUAGGCAGUUUGAUAAGGCCCUGCUGAUAUUUGAUCAGAUAAAGGAUUUAGAAUAUAAGCCAGAUUUGAUCACAUAUAAUAUGGUUUUGCAUAUUUUAGGUCGUGCUGGUCGAGUUGAUGAAAUGCUCUAUGAGUUUUCUUCCAUGAAGGAAGCAGGAAUAGUCCCAGAUUUUAUUUGCUACAAUACAUUAUUAAACCAGUUGCAGAAGGCAGGAAGAUUGGAUUUGUGUUUGGUAUACAUAAGGGAAAUGGGUGAGAGUGGCAUUGAAGCAGAUUUGCUUACAUAUACUGCAUUGAUUCAAAGUUUUGGCAAGUCAGGGCACAUUGAGGAGUCCUUGAGGCUCUUUGAUGAUAUGAAGACAAGGCAAAUCCGUCCGUCAAUCUAUAUAUAUCGAUCUUUAAUCAAUACUGCAAAGAAAAUGGGAAAAGUGGAGUUGGCAAUGACCCUUUUAGAGGAGAUGAAUGCAUCUCCUCCGAAUCUGGCUGGUCCAAAUGAUUUCAAACGGAAAAGGAGGUAGUUAAACUCAUUAUUUUCUGAAUUAUGACGGAACUUUCCGAGUUCACAACUUUAUAAGUUAAAUCAAGGUUCCUGUGAGGGGUUGUGGUUUAAGUGACAAGGCUUAACUCCCUAGUGAUUUGGUGGAAGGUCAAAGGCUCGAGUCUCUUGACAGUUAUGGGAUGUGACUAGUGAGAUUUAUCUGUUCAGUGGCUGUUUUCUGUUGUGCCUUCUUUGUGCUGGGGUCAGUCUAUCAGCUCAUUGCUCAACCUUGACUUAAGGGAGCACUUGACUGUGCUGUACCUCUAUUGAUCCAUUGUUAGUGCGGUGGAGCACAUCUCCCAUUAUAUGAUGCUACUCCAUGGAAAGCAUAGUUCCCAACUAAUUUUAAUCAGUUGUUAAUAACUCAAUCGAAGGUAAUAGAAUAAGGUGGUUCCUGGAACUGGAUUUCAUCACCUGAUGACAAACCUUGAACUUUUAGAAACUUCUUUUAAAAGUUUUGCCUGCUUAGAAACAUUUUUGUUGUAUUACUAAAUUGUUGUAAAUGAAAGUGUAGAAGCACAUAGCAUUAUGCAACCAAUCUGCAAAAAUUGAGAAAAAGGUAUGAAAUUUUAGAUAUUGAAUUGCAGCUUUUCAUUUCAGUUUAGUGUGUUUGUAUUUUGUGGCAAGUGAUGGGUACACUACCUGUAAGGUAAAGUAAUUCUAAUACUUUUAUCUGAAUAUUGAAGAUUCCCUUGAAGGAAACUAUGAAGUAGUUCAAGAA
Ricinus communis (castor bean) is the source of this 2040-nucleotide RNA transcript. It is a transcript of the gene named pentatricopeptide repeat-containing protein At1g11900, with no coding region annotated. The record is from RefSeq and is a predicted model, not a curated record. Lineage: Eukaryota; Viridiplantae; Streptophyta; Magnoliopsida; Malpighiales; Euphorbiaceae. The transcript has 4 exons.